This 73-nucleotide transfer RNA is filed under the name Marmota monax (woodchuck). It matches the Rfam family "tRNA". Rfam says of the family: Transfer RNA (tRNA) molecules are approximately 80 nucleotides in length. Their secondary structure includes four short double-helical elements and three loops (D, anti-codon, and T loops). RNAcentral also lists the same sequence under 1 other name. The record is from Rfam by way of RNAcentral. Lineage: Eukaryota; Metazoa; Chordata; Mammalia; Rodentia; Sciuridae.
AGGGAUGUAGCUCAGUUGGUAGAGUGCUUGCCUCAUAUGCACAAGGCCCUGGGUUCAAUCCUCAGCACCACAA